UGGGGAAUCUUGCACAAUGGGGGAAACCCUGAUGCAGCGACGCCGCGUGAGCGAUGAAGGUUUUCGAAUCGUAAAGCUCUGUCCUAUGGGAAGAUAAUGACGGUACCAUGGGAGGAAGCCCCGGCUAACUACGUGCCAGCAGCCGCGGUAAUACGUAGGGGGCGAGCGUUGGCCGGAAUUACUGGGCGUAAAGGGUUCGCAGGCGGCAUGGCAAGUCCGAUGUAAAAGGCGAAGGCUCAACCUUCGUAAGCAUCGGAAACUGUCAAGCUUGAGUGAAGGAGAGGCAAGUGGAAUUCCUAGUGUAGCGGUGGAAUGCGUAGAUAUUAGGAGGAAUACCGGUGGCGAAGGCGACUUGCUGGACUUCAACUGACGCUGAGGAACGAAAGCGUGGGUAGCAAACAGG
This 403-nucleotide ribosomal RNA is filed under the name Fusobacteriota bacterium. Its description in RNAcentral is "Fusobacteria bacterium partial 16S ribosomal RNA". It matches the Rfam family "Bacterial small subunit ribosomal RNA", at positions 355 to 776 of the family's 1533-position model. Lineage: Bacteria; Fusobacteriati; Fusobacteriota. The record is from RNAcentral.